Molecule: long non-coding RNA, 704 nt
Filed under: Prunus persica (peach)
Lineage: Eukaryota; Viridiplantae; Streptophyta; Magnoliopsida; Rosales; Rosaceae
Description: long non-coding RNA (PPER_LNC008286)
Source: RNAcentral
UUACACACAGAUAUUCCAACUGCAAUUAUAAGUUUUUUUUUUUUGGGUCUGAAACUGCAAUUAUAAGUUGGGGUUGAAGCCUACUGUGGGUUGGUCUCAACAGAUGCUGCAGCAACAGUUGAGACCAUGGAGUCUACACCGCAGAUAUUACGGCCCUUGCAGAUUUUGUAAAAUCCCUUCUCUCCCCAGUUCUCUCCCCAUGAGUUCUUUAUGAUCCAGUAUGGCUUCUCUUUCAUUCUGAUGGGAGAAUAGCCAGCUGCACCAUAACCCACGAGCAGCACCCCAUGAUCCAAUCUCUUUGAGCAAAUGUAGGGGCAUGACACUCCACCAACAUAUGUUUGCAUGAACACUGCGUUGAUAGCCACUGCAUUCGAACAAUGUACUAGUUAAUAACAGGCAUUCACCACUACAGGAACUCAUAUCAGUAUUCUAUAAUGCUCUUAAAUCAUAAAGAGAAGAUGAGCAGAAAAAAUAAAAUAUCUUUACAAUAGAACAAGGCAAAGAACAGAAAUCACAAAAUUAAAUGCAAGUUACCUGCAAGAGGGCCAUUUUUCACAAGGUUUGCAGCAAUUUGUUCUUCAUCAAGGGAGACAACACUGAAAUUGGCAACCUUUGCUGCAAUUUUGCUUUUGUCAAAUUUGCAGCUUCCGCGAUCAGUACCAGUGUAUGGAUAUUCUUCUUCCUUCAUUAGUCCACCAGCUUUG